ACGAAAAUUGCUUAGUGUUCUUCCUUUGUGUGGAGGUGCUACCGGUGAAGGUGUAAGGCUUGUUGGCCGAUUGUGGUGCCGGCGAGAGCAACGUCCCCUUUGUGAUUCUUCGUGGCUUAGUGUGUGCGUGAUCGAGAGGAAGAGAGCUGUACCUGAGCCGAGAAGAUCGACGCCCCUUGUUCCUCUCUUUGUGUGUUUUUCCUUGCAGGUUGUCGAGGCUGCUGCUACCUCGUUGCUGCGCCGCUGUUGCUGCUGCGUUGUUGCCGGAGGACAGCCGCCGCUGCUGCUGCCCCUGCCGCCGCCGUCCCUGCUGCUGUUCCGCCGCUGUGUUGCCGCUGCUUUGCUGCCCCGGAGAAGGAAGCCUUCAACAACGACGACGAGGGUCGAUACUCAACAGUGGUAUCAGAGCCACGGUUGACCUCGUCGUCGCAUUGGUAAGUCGGGGUCCUGACCUUAGGAUCCCGCUCUGGUAAAGCGGCUUAAACCUCUCUUGUUUUUCAAUUUCUAGUUGCUGCCAUCUGGUGCAGUUUAGGCUUGGUGCUUAUCUGCUGGUAGAUAUCUAGGAUUCGUGUGUCGAAUUCUGUUUUCUGUUUUAUUUUUUUUUUCCGCU
RNAcentral lists this long non-coding RNA (610 nucleotides) under Salvia miltiorrhiza (redroot sage). RNAcentral's name for it is "long non-coding RNA (SMIL_LNC013205)". Lineage: Eukaryota; Viridiplantae; Streptophyta; Magnoliopsida; Lamiales; Lamiaceae. The record is from RNAcentral.